UACGUAGGUGGCAAGCGUUAUCCGGAUUUAUUGGGCGUAAAGGGAACGCAGGCGGUCUUUUAAGUCUGAUGUGAAAGCCUUCGGCUUAACCGGAGUAGUGCAUUGGAAACUGGGAGACUUGAGUGCAGAAGAGGAGAGUAGAACUCCAUGUGUAGCGGUGAAAUGCGUAGAUAUAUGGAAGAACACCAGUGGCGAAAGCGGCUCUCUGGUCUGUAACUGACGCUGAAGUUCGAAAGCGUGGGUAGCAAACAGG
Molecule: ribosomal RNA, 253 nt
Filed under: uncultured bacterium
Lineage: Bacteria
Description: partial 16S ribosomal RNA
Rfam family: Bacterial small subunit ribosomal RNA
Source: RNAcentral